This 805-nucleotide ribosomal RNA is filed under the name Dothideomycetes sp. TRN 66. Its description in RNAcentral is "SSU rRNA". It matches the Rfam family "Bacterial small subunit ribosomal RNA", at positions 375 to 1202 of the family's 1533-position model. The record is from RNAcentral. Lineage: Eukaryota; Fungi; Ascomycota; Dothideomycetes.
CCUAACGGCUGAACCAGCUAUUUGGUGGAAUGUAAUCGUUUAACGACGUGCAUGUUCACAAUUUUGUGACAUGUGGCAACUCUGUUGCAUAAAAUUCUGGGUAGAUGAUUGAUGAUGACAAAUAUCUACUCACAUAUCUUGACCAAUGCUUGUGCCAGCAGUCGCGGCAACACAAGUAAGAUUAGUGUUAUUCAUCUUUAUUAGGUUUAAAGGGUACCUAGACGGCAAAAGCAACUUCUAAAAAGUAUAUCUUUGCUAGAGUUUUAUGUGAGAGGUAAAUAUUAGGACUAUUGGUGUAGGGAUGAAAUCCCUUGAUACUAAUAGAAUGUGUAACGGCGAAGACAACCCUCUAUGUAUAAACUGACGUUGAGGGACGAAGGCUUGGGGAGCAAACAGGAUUAGAUACCCUAGUAGUCCAGGCAGAAAAUCAUGAAUGUUAUAUGUUAGAUUAAAAUUGAUGUAUAAAUGAAAGUGUAAGCAUUCCACCUCAAGAGUAAUGCGGCAACGCAGGAACUGAAAUCAUUAGACCGUUUCUGAAACCAGUAGUGAAGUAUGUUUUUUAAUUCGAUAACCCUCGAAAAACCUUACCACAACUUGAAUGGUAUCUAAAUAACUAUUGUUUUAAAUAUUAAUAGUUACUUAGAUAUAACAAGCGUUGCACGGCUGUCUAAAGCUAAUGUCGUGAGAUUUUGGUUAGAUCCAUUAAAUUAGCGUGAUCCCUUGCUUUAUUUACUUAUAAUAAGGAUAGUGCUUGGUUGCAUUAGUAACUGGGAUAAUAGGGAAGAAGACAAGUCAUCAUGGCCUU